Molecule: ribosomal RNA, 1267 nt
Filed under: uncultured fungus
Lineage: Eukaryota; Fungi
Description: eukaryotic LSU rRNA
Rfam family: Eukaryotic large subunit ribosomal RNA (bases 595-1267)
Source: RNAcentral
AAGUCGUAACAAGGUUUCCGUAGGUGAACCUGCGGAAGGAUCAUUAUUGAAUUUACAAUUGGGUUGCUGCUGGCCUUUAGGGGCAUGUGCACACCCUUUUUAAACUCUCCAUCCCUGUGCACAUCCUGUAGGCCGGACUUAAAACUCCAGCCUAUGUCUUUCACACACUAUAAAAGUAUCAGAAUGUUGAAUUGCUUUGGCCUUUAAAAAGUCAAAUUAAAUCUAUACAACUUUUAGCAAUGGAUCUCUUGGCUCUCGCAUCGAUGAAGAACGCAGCGAAUUGCGAUAUGUAAUGUGAAUUGCAGAAUUCAGUGAAUCAUCGAAUCUUUGAACGCACCUUGCGCCCUUUGGUAUUCCGAAGGGCAUGCCUGUUUGAGUGUCAUUAAAUUAUCAACACCAUAUUGAUUUGUUUCAACUUGGUGCUUGGAUGUUGAGGGUUUUGCUGGCGCCUUGCGUUGGCUCCCUUUAAAUAUAUUAGCGGAACUAUGCAGGACCGGCCUUGGUUUGAUAAUCCUAUCUAUGCCAUCGCUGAGAAGCUCUUGNUCAGCNUAUAGCUGUCUUCGGACUGUCUCUUUGGAGGCAAACUUUUAAUCUUGACCUCAAAUCAGGUAGGACUACCCGCUGAACUUAAGCAUAUCAAUAAGCGGAGGAAAAGAAACUAACAAGGAUUCCCCUAGUAACUGCGAGUGAAGCGGGNAAAGCUCAAAUUUAAAAUCUGGCCGCCUUUGGUUGCCCGAGUUGUAGUUUAGAGAAGUGUUAUCCGCGCCGGCCCGUGUACAAGUUUCUUUGAAUAGAACAUCAUAGAGGGUGAUAAUCCCGUCUUUGACAUGGACAUCCGGGGCUUUUGUGAUGCGCUCUCAAUGAGUCGAGUUGUUUGGGAAUGCAGCUCUAAAUGGGUGGUAAAUUCCAUCUAAAGCUAAAUAUCGGCGAGAGACCGAUAGCGAACAAGUACCGUGAGGGAAAGAUGAAAAGAACUUUGGAAAGAGAGUUAAACAGUACGUGAAAUUGCUAAAAGGGAAACGCUUGAAGUCAGUCACGUUUGUCAGGGAUCAACCUCGCUCUUUUGUAAGGUGCACUUCCUGGUUUUACGGGUCAGCAUCAGUUUUGGCCGUCGGAUAAAGGUUGAGGGAAUGUGGCAUCUUCGGAUGUGUUAUAGCCCUUAAUUCGGAUACGUCGACUGGGACUGAGGAACUCAGCACGCCUUUAUGGUCGGGGCUUCGGCUCACGUUCAGUGCUUAGGAUGCUGGCAUAAUGGCUUUAAUCGACC